CCAUGCGAGUCAUUGUAGCAAUACAAGGCAGACGGCUCAGUAACGCGUAGUCAAUCUACCCUGUUGACGGGGAUAACCUCGGGAAACUGGGAAUAAUACCCGAUAGAACAUUAUGCCUGGAAUGGUUUAUGUUUCAAAUGAUUUAUCGCAAUAGGAUGGGACUGCGGCCUAUCAGUUUGUUGGUGAGGUAAUGGCCCACCAAGACUAUUACAGGUACGGGCUCUGAGAGGAGUGGCCCGGAGAUGGGUACUGAGACACGGACCCAGGCCCUAUGGGGCGCAGCGGGCGAGAAAACUUUGCAAUGUGCGAAAGCACGACAAGGUUAACCCGAGUGGUUUCUGCUAAAGAAACCUUUUGUCAGUCCUAGAAACACUGAUGAAUAAGGGGUGGGCAAGUUCUGGUGUCAGCCGCCGCGGUAAAACCAGCACCUCAAGUGGUCAGGAUGAUUAUUGGGCCUAAAGCAUCCGUAGCUUGUUUUGUAAGUUUUCGGUUAAAUCCAUACGCUUAACGUAUGGGCUGCCGGGAAUACUGCAUAACUAGGAAGUGGGAGAGGUAGACGGUACUCGGUAGGAAGGGGUAAAAUCCUUUGAUCUAUUGAUGACCACCUGUGGCGAAGGCGGUCUACCAGAACACGUUCGACGGUGAGGGAUGAAAGCUGGGGGAGCAAACCGGAUUAGAUACCCGGGUAGUCCCAGCUGUAAACUAUGCAAACUCAGUGAUGCAUUGGCUUGUGGCCAAUGCAGUGCUGCAGGGAAGCCGUUAAGUUUGCCGCCUGGGAAGUACGUACGCAAGUAUGAAACUUAAAGGAAUUGGCGGGGGAGCACCACAAGGGGUGAAGCCUGCGGUUCAAUUGGAUUCAA
Molecule: ribosomal RNA, 860 nt
Filed under: uncultured archaeon
Lineage: Archaea
Description: bacterial SSU rRNA
Rfam family: Archaeal small subunit ribosomal RNA
Source: RNAcentral